ACAGCGCUAUUUAGGUUAGAGUUUGAUCCUGGCUCAGGACGAACGCUGGCGGCGUGCUUAACACAUGCAAGUCGAACGGUGACCUCGGAGCUUGCUCCGGGCGAUCAGUGGCGAACGGGUGAGUAACACGUGAGUAACCUGCCCCAGACUCUGGGAUAACCCCGGGAAACCGGAGCUAAUACCGGAUACGACACGAAGAGGCAUCUCUAUCGUGUGGAAAGUUUUUCGGUCUGGGAUGGACUCGCGGCCUAUCAGCUAGUUGGUGAGGUAACGGCUCACCAAGGCGACGACGGGUAGCCGGCCUGAGAGGGCGACCGGCCACACUGGGACUGAGACACGGCC
This 342-nucleotide ribosomal RNA is filed under the name uncultured bacterium. Its description in RNAcentral is "bacterial SSU rRNA". It matches the Rfam family "Bacterial small subunit ribosomal RNA", at positions 1 to 331 of the family's 1533-position model. The record is from RNAcentral.